RNAcentral lists this small nuclear RNA (330 nucleotides) under Octodon degus (degu). Its description in RNAcentral is "7SK RNA (ENSODEG00000022906.1)". It matches the Rfam family "7SK RNA". Rfam says of the family: 7SK was discovered as an abundant small nuclear RNA in the mid-70s but a possible function has only recently been suggested. The record is from Rfam by way of RNAcentral. Lineage: Eukaryota; Metazoa; Chordata; Mammalia; Rodentia; Octodontidae.
GGAUGUGAGGGCGAUCUGGCUGCGACAUCUGUCACCCCAUUGAUCGCCAGGGUUGAUUCGGCUGAUCUGGCUGGCUAGGCGGGUGUCCCCUUCCUCCCUCAACGAUCCAUGUGCGUCCCUCCCGAAGCUGCGCGCUCGGUCGAAGAGGACGACCACCCCCGAUAGAGGAGGACCGUUCCUCGGUCAAGGGUAUACGAGUAGCUGCGCUCCCCUGCUAGAACCUCCAAACAAGCUCUCAAGAGAACAACCAUCAACAAAUGAAAAAUACACAAUGCUGAAAGCAACUCAAGACUUCAAACAAAAAGCAGUUAGUAAGACUUGGUUGUUUUG